Molecule: ribosomal RNA, 485 nt
Filed under: uncultured bacterium
Lineage: Bacteria
Description: partial 16S ribosomal RNA
Rfam family: Bacterial small subunit ribosomal RNA
Source: RNAcentral
UUGCACGCUGGCGGCAUGCCUUACCCAUGCAAGUCGCACGGCAGCACGGGUGCUUGCACCUGGUGGCGAGUGGCGAACGGGUGAGUAAUACAUCGGAACAUGUCCUGUAGUGGGGGAUAGCCCGGCGAAAGCCGGAUUAAUACCGCAUACGAUCUACGGAUGAAAGCGGGGGACCUUCGGGCCUCGCGCUAUAGGGUUGGCCGAUGGCUGAUUAGCUAGUUGGUGGGGUAAAGGCCUACCAAGGCGACGAUCAGUAGCUGGUCUGAGAGGACGACCAGCCACACUGGGACUGAGACACGGCCCAGACUCCUACGGGAGGCAGCAGUGGGGAAUUUUGGACAAUGGGCGAAAGCCUGAUCCAGCAAUGCCGCGUGUGUGAAGAAGGCCUUCGGGUUGUAAAGCACUUUUGUCCGGAAAGAAAUCCUUGGCCCUAAUACGGUCGGGGGAUGACGGUACCGGAAGAAUAAGCACCGGCUAACUACGUG